Molecule: transfer-messenger RNA, 386 nt
Filed under: Helicobacter pylori
Lineage: Bacteria; Pseudomonadati; Campylobacterota; Epsilonproteobacteria; Campylobacterales; Helicobacteraceae
Description: Standard tmRNA
Rfam family: transfer-messenger RNA
About the family: Bacterial tmRNA, also known as 10Sa RNA or SsrA, is named for its dual tRNA and mRNA-like properties. Its role is to liberate the mRNA from a stalled ribosome.
Source: RNAcentral
GGGGCUGACUUGGAUUUCGACAGAUUUCUUGUCGCACAGAUAGCAUGCCAAGCACUGCUUGUAAAACAGCAACAAAAAUAACUGUAAACAACGCAGAUUACGCUCCAGCUUACGCUAAAGCUGCGUGAGUUAAUCUCCUUUUGGAGCUGGACUGAUUAGAAUUUCUAGCGUUUUAAUCACUCCAUAACCUUAAGCUAGACGCUUUUAAAAGGUGGUUCGCCUUUUAAACUAAGAAACAAGAACUCUUGAAACUACCUCAAGGUUUUAGAAAGUUGGACCAGAGCUAGUUUUAAGGCUAAAAAACUAACCAAUUUUCUAAGCAUUGUAGAAGUUUGUGUUUAGGGCAAGAUUUUUGGACUGGGGUUCGAUUCCCCACAGCUCCACCA